GCGGGGCUGGGCUCAGCGGUAGAGCGCUCGCCUCGCGUGUGUGGGGCCCUGGGUGCGAUCCUCAGCACCACA
Molecule: transfer RNA, 72 nt
Filed under: Marmota monax (woodchuck)
Lineage: Eukaryota; Metazoa; Chordata; Mammalia; Rodentia; Sciuridae
Description: tRNA.Ala
Source: RNAcentral